UACGUAGGGUGCAAGCGUUGUUCGGAUUCAUUGGGCGUAAAGGGUGCGUAGGUGGCUUGGUAAGUCGGAUGUGAAAUCCCGGGGCUCAACCCCGGAACUGCAUUCGAUACUGCCAGGCUGGAGUACUGGAGAGGAGAUUGGAAUUUACGGUGUAGCAGUGAAAUGCGUAGAUAUCGUAAGGAAGACCAGUGGCGAAGGCGGAUCUCUGGACAGUUACUGACACUGAGGCACGAAGGCCAGGGGAGCAAACGGG
RNAcentral lists this ribosomal RNA (253 nucleotides) under uncultured bacterium. RNAcentral's name for it is "partial 16S ribosomal RNA". It matches the Rfam family "Bacterial small subunit ribosomal RNA", at positions 524 to 776 of the family's 1533-position model. The record is from RNAcentral.